AAAGUCGUAACAAGGUUUCCGUAGGUGAACCUGCGGAAGGAUCAUUACAAAUCCGUUACCACAACACCCCACUCUUCACGAGUACCACGUUGAAUUGUUGCAUGUGUGCGUGGGCGAGCCGCCCCUUUCUUCACGCGAGGCGCCGGUCGCCCACCCGCAUCACCCCAACACACUAGUCCUUUCUUGUUGAUCAAGUGUAACCGAAGAGAGAGAGGCCGCCGCCGCAGCCGUCAGGGUGCGCGGCGCCCCUCUCGACUCCACACAUCUAGUACAACUUAUAACAAUGGAUCUCUAGGCUCUU
Molecule: unclassified non-coding RNA, 301 nt
Filed under: Ascomycota sp.
Lineage: Eukaryota; Fungi; Ascomycota
Description: partial contains small subunit ribosomal RNA, internal transcribed spacer 1, and 5.8S ribosomal RNA
Rfam family: Eukaryotic small subunit ribosomal RNA (bases 1-47)
Source: RNAcentral